GUGGGAGGGGGCUUGCUCCCGAAGGCAUCGUGUCAGUCGGCAUCAGAUUGGCUGAACCACCGCUUUCGGGAGCAAGCCCCCUCCCAC
This 87-nucleotide non-coding RNA is filed under the name Pseudomonas baetica. Lineage: Bacteria; Pseudomonadati; Pseudomonadota; Gammaproteobacteria; Pseudomonadales; Pseudomonadaceae. The record is from RNAcentral.